CUCUCAUGCUCUUCAAGCCCCUCUUACCUUUGGACAGUUUUCCUCUGCCUGGAGGUUUUCCUUCCCUUACUUGCUUAGUUACUGCCUUUCUUCUCAUCUGUGCUGAAGCUUUUUCUGAUCUAUCUGACUAGAACUCUGCCUCAAAGCCAUCCCCCAUUACAAGAUCUUAUAAUACCCUUUCUCUCUCCUUAACCACAGUUUCAACAUUUGCCUUUUCACAUUUCUCUGUGCUGUCUUUGGUUAAUAUGUCCCACCUCCACCAGCUGAAUUUGGUUUAUGGGGUGUGGAAACUCCUCCUAGUUUCAUUCACAUGUGUCUCCCCACUGUGCUCAACAACUAUAUGUAGAAUUGAUGAAUCCCAGUAUCAGUCUGAAAAAGGCAUUCAAAAACUGCUGAUUAAAAGAAACUAAGUUGUGUGGUGAGUGUGGAUGACCAAUUAUUUAAAACAAAAUUGCCUGUUGAUACUGUUGCUGGUCCAAGGACUGCACUUUGAGAAUCACUGUCCUAGAUCCUUACCUGUUUGGAUAUCUUUAAGGCUUUUGAGGAAAAAGUUCACCAACUGUCUCUAACAGUACCCAGAUUAGAAAUAACUCCAUCAUGAAAGAAAGGACUUCAGCAGAGUGAUUACAACUAUGGGUUCUGGAACCAAACCUUCUAGGAUUCCUUUUCUGUGGACACAAGUUAAUUAAGCUCCCUCUGAUUAAGUUCCAUCAUCUCCUCUGGGAAUAUCAACAGAUCCUUCAUCAUGGUGUUAUUGUGAAAAUUUCAUAAGAUAAUAAAAACCAUCUAGUGCAGAGCUUGGCCCACAGUAAGCUCUCAGUGUGGUGUUUGUCAUCAACAAGAUCAUCAGUCUUUUCAUCAUCAAUAAACUGAUGCUGUGACUAAUAAGAGCAUAUGAGAUUCAGAGGCUGACUCAGCUCUAAUGCAAAUUUUCAGCAAGUAUGGCAUCCAGCUGAGCAAUUAUGCCUCAGCCCUGUGGUACAUGAGGAGCAAGGGAGACAUAGAUGAAUAUCAUGACCCCGUUCCUUUCUAAGCCAUCAGAAAUAAAGUCCUUCUUCGAUGUCCCAACGGUCUUG
This 1076-nucleotide long non-coding RNA is filed under the name Equus caballus (horse). RNAcentral's name for it is "lncRNA (ENSECAG00000046376.1)". Lineage: Eukaryota; Metazoa; Chordata; Mammalia; Perissodactyla; Equidae. The record is from RNAcentral.